GAUGAACGCUGGCGGCGUGCUUAACACAUGCAAGUCGAACGGGAAACCUUUUAAUGAAGCUUCGGCAGAUUUAGCUGGUUUCUAGUGGCGGACGGGUGAGUAACGCGUGGGUAACCUGCCUUAUACAGGGGGAUAACAGUCAGAAAUGACUGCUAAUACCGCAUAAGCGCACAGGACCGCAUGGUCCGGUGUGAAAAACUCCGGUGGUAUAAGAUGGACCCGCGUUGGAUUAGCUUGAUGGAGGGGUAACGGCUCACCACGGCGACGAUCCGCAGCCGGCCAGAGAGAGUGAACGGACACAUUGGGACUGGGACGCGGCCCAGACUCCUACGGGAGGCAGCAGUGGGGAAUAUUGCACAAUGGCGGAAACGCUGAUGCAGCGACGCCGCGUGAAGGAAGAAGUAUCUCAGUAUGUAAACUUCUAUCAGCAGGGAAGAUAGUGACGGUACCUGACUAAGAAGCCCCGGCUAACUACGUG
Molecule: ribosomal RNA, 478 nt
Filed under: uncultured bacterium
Lineage: Bacteria
Description: partial 16S ribosomal RNA
Rfam family: Bacterial small subunit ribosomal RNA
Source: RNAcentral